GAUCAUGGCUCAGAUUGAACGCUGGCGGCAGGCCUAACACAUGCAAGUCGAACGGUAGCACAGAGAGCUUGCUCUCGGGUGACGAGUGGCGGACGGGUGAGUAAUGUCUGGGAAACUGCCUGAUGGAGGGGGAUAACUACUGGAAACGGUAGCUAAUACCGCAUAACGUCGCAAGACCAAAGAGGGGGGACCUUCGGGCCUCUUGCCAUCAGAUGUGCCCAGAUGGGAUUAG
This 232-nucleotide ribosomal RNA is filed under the name uncultured bacterium. Its description in RNAcentral is "partial 16S ribosomal RNA". It matches the Rfam family "Bacterial small subunit ribosomal RNA", at positions 15 to 244 of the family's 1533-position model. The record is from RNAcentral.